GAGGGUAUACCUCAGUGGUAGAGUGCGUGCUUAGCAUGCAUGAGGUCCUGGGUUCAAUCCUCAGUACCUCCA
RNAcentral lists this transfer RNA (72 nucleotides) under Camelus bactrianus (Bactrian camel). It matches the Rfam family "tRNA". Rfam says of the family: Transfer RNA (tRNA) molecules are approximately 80 nucleotides in length. Their secondary structure includes four short double-helical elements and three loops (D, anti-codon, and T loops). Further hydrogen bonds mediate the characteristic L-shaped molecular structure. tRNAs have two regions of fundamental functional importance: the anti-codon, which is responsible for specific mRNA codon recognition, and the 3' end, to which the tRNAs corresponding amino acid is attached (by aminoacyl-tRNA synthetases). tRNAs cope with the degeneracy of the genetic code in two manners: having more than one tRNA (with a specific anti-codon) for a particular amino acid; and 'wobble' base-pairing, i.e. permitting non-standard base-pairing at the 3rd anti-codon position. RNAcentral also lists the same sequence under 2 other names. Lineage: Eukaryota; Metazoa; Chordata; Mammalia; Artiodactyla; Camelidae. The record is from Rfam by way of RNAcentral.